GUGCCAGAACCAUGUUCCGGACAUGCCCGGAACCACCUGCCGAGCUCGCCGGAACCACCUGCCGGACACGCCCACAUCACCUGUCAGCUACGCCAGAACCACUUGGCGGACACUCCGGAAACACCUGUCAGACUCGCCGGAACCACCUCUCAGAUGCGCCAGAACCAUGUGCCUGAGAUGCCGGAACCACUCCCCGAAGAGACCGAAACCACCUGCCAGACCCGCCUGAACCCACUGGCGAGCACGCCUGAUCCACCUGCUCAACUAGCCGGAACCACCUUCCUGACACGCCAAAAUCACCUGCCAGGUAUACAAGAACCACUUGGUGGACACUCCGGAAUCAUCUGCCGGACAUGCCAGAACCAGCUCUCAGACACACCAGAACCACGUGCCAGAGACGCCGGAAGCACCAGCUGAGCAUGCCUCAGCCACCAGCUCGACUCGCAAGAUACACCUGUCGGACAGGCGAAAAUCACCUGCCGGGUACGCCAGAAACACUUGGCGGACGCUCCGGAAUCACCUGUCCUGCGUGCCGGAACCACCUCUCAGACUUGCCAGAACCAUGUUCUGGACACGCCGGUACCAGCUGCCGAGUAUGCCGGAACCAGCUGAUCCACUCCCCAGAACCACCUAGUGGACACGCCAAAAAUCAACUGCUGGCUACGCCGGAACCACCGGCUCGACUAGCCGGAACCACAGCCGGACAUGCAAAAUGACCUGCCGGCUACGCCAGAACCACUUGGCGAACACUCCGGAAUCACCUGUCGGGCAUGCCGGAACCACCUCUCAGACUUGCCAGAACCAAGUUCAGGACACGCCGGUACCACCUGCCGAGCUCGCCGGAACCACCUGCUGGACACGCCAAAAUCACCUGCCGGCUACCCCAGGACCACUCGGCAGACACUCCGGAAUCACAUGCCAGGCAUUCCGGAACCACCACUCAGAGGUGCCAGAACCACAUGCCGGACACUCCGGAAUCACCUGCCGGGCAUGGCGGAACCACCUCUCAGACAUGCCGGAACCACAUGCCAAUGACACCGGAAGCACCUGCCGAGCACUCCAGAACCACCUGCUCGACUCGCCAAAACCACCUGCUGGACACGCCAAAAUCACCUGCCUGCUACGCCAGAACCACGUGGCAGACACUCCGGAAUCACCUGCCGGGCUGGCUGGAACCACCUGCCGGUCACGCCAACAUCACCUUUCAGCUACGCCAGAAACACUUGGCGGACACUCCGGAAACACCUCUCCAGCCGACCGGAACCACCUCUCAGACGUGCCAGAACCUUGUGCCUGAGAUACCGGAACCACUCCCCGAACAGACCGGAACCACCUGCCAGACCCACCUGAACCCCCUGGCGAGCACGCCUGAUCCACCUGCUCAACUAGCCGGAACCACCUUCCUGACAUGCCAAAAUCACCUGCCAGGUAUACAAGAACCACUUGGUGGACACUCCGGAAUCAUCUGCCGGACAUGCCAAAACCAGCUCUCAGACACGCCAGAACCACGUGCCAGAGACGCCGGAAGCACCAGCUGAGCAUGCCUCAGCCACCUGCUCGACUUGCAAGAAACACCUGUCGGACAUGCCAAAAUCACCUGCCGGGUACGCCAGAAACACUUGGCGGAUGCUUCGGAAUCACCUGUCGGGCGUGCCGGAACCACCUCUCAGACUUGCCAGUACCAUGUUCUGGACACGCCGGUACCACCUGCCGAGUAUGCCGGAACCAGCUGAUCCACUCCCCAGAACCACCUAGUGGACACGCCAAAAUCAACUGCCGGCUACACCAGAACCACUCUGCACACACUCCGGAAUCACAUGCCAGGCAUUCCGGAACCACCUCUCAGAGGUGCCAGAAACAAAUGCUGGAGACUCCGGUAUCACAUGCCUUGCAUGCCGGAACCAACUCUCAGACGUGCCAGAACCUCGUGCCGGACACGCCAGAACCACCUGCCGGACAGACCGGAAACACCUGCUGGACAAGCCAGAACCACUCGGCAGACACUCCGGAAUCACAUGCCAGGCAUCCCGGAACCACUUCUCAGAGGUGCCAGAAACAAAUGCCGGACACUCCGGUAUCACCUGCCGGGCAUGCCAGAACAACCUCUCAGAGGUGCCAGAACCACAUGCCGGACACUCCGGAAUCACCUGCCGGGCAUGCCGGAACCACCUGAUCGACUUGCCGGAACCACCGGCUCGACUCGCCGGAACACCGCCGGACAUGCAAAAUCACCUGCCGGCUACGCCAGAACCACUUGGCAAACACUCCGGAAUCACCUGUCGGGCAUGCCGGAACCACCUCUCAGACUUGCCAGAACCAUGUUCCGGACACGCCGGUACCACCUGCCGAUUAUGCCGGAACCACCUGAUCCACUCCCCAGAACCACCUGCUGGACACGCCAAUAUCACCUGCCAGGUAAGCCAGAACGAUGUGGCGGACACUCCGGAAUCACCUGUCGGGCAUGCCGGAACCAACUCUCAGACGUGCCAGAACCUCGUGCCGGUCAUGCCAGAACCACCUGCCGGACAGACCGGAAACACCUGUUGGACACUCCGGAACCACCGGCUCCACUCGCCAGAACCACCGCCGGACAUGCAAAAUGACCUGCCAGCUACUCCAGAACCACUGGGCGAACAUUCCGGAAGCACCUGCCGGGCAUGGCGGAACCACCUCUCAGACAUGCCGGAACCACAUGCCAAUGACACCGGAAGCACCUGCCGAGCACGCCAGAACCACCUGCUCGACUCGCCAAAACCACCUGCUCGAUUCGCCAAAAUGAACUGCCGGCUACGCCAGAACCACUUGGCGAACACUCUGGAAUCACCUGUCGGGCAUGCCAGAACCACCUCUCAGACUUGCCAGAACCAUGUUCCGGACACGCCGGUACCAGCUGACGAUUAUGCCGGAACCACCUGAUCCACUCCCCAGAACCACCUGCUGGACAUGCCAGAAUCACCUGCCGGCUACGCCAGAACCACUCGGCAGACACUCCGGAACCACCUGCCGGGCAUGCCGGAACCAUCUCUCUGACGUGCCAGAACCAUGUGCCUGAGAUGCCGGAACCACUCCCCGAACAGACCGAAACCACCUGCCAGACCCGCCUGAACCCCCUGGCGAGCACGCCUGAUCCACCUGCUCAACUAGCCGGAACCACCUUCCUGACACGCCAAAAUCACCUGCCAGGUAUACAAGAACAACUUGGUGGACACUCCGGAAUCAUCUGCCGGACAUGCCAGAACCAGCUCUCAGACACACCAGAACCACGUGCCAGAGACGCCGGAAGCACCAGCUGAGCAUGCCUCAGGCACCUGAUCGACUCGCAAGAUACACCUGUCGGACAUGCCAAAAUCACCUGCCGGGUACGCCAGAAACACUUGGCGGACGCUCCGUAAUCACCUGUCGGGCGUGCCGGAACCUCUUCUGAGACUUGCCAGAACCAUGUUCUGGACACGUCGGUACCACCUGCCGAGUAUGCCGGAACCAGCUGAUCCACUCCCCAGAACCACCUAGUGGACACGCCAAAAUCAACUGCCGGCUACGCCAGAACCACUCGGCAGACACUCCGGAAUCACAUGCCAGGCAUUCCGGAACCACCUCUCAGAGCUGCCAGAACCACAUGCCGGACACUCCGGAAUCACCUGCCGGGCAUGCUGGAACCACGUGCUGGUCAUGCCGGAAGCACCUGCCGGACAUGCCAGAACCACAUGCCGGACAUUCCGGAACCACCGGCUCGACUCGCCGGAACCAUUGCCGGACAUGCAAAAUCACCUGCCGGGUACGCCAGAACCACUUGGCGAACACUCCGGUAUCACCUGCCGGGCAUGCCGGAACCACCUCUCAGAGGUGCCAGAACCACAUGCCGGACACUCCGGAAUCACCUGCCGGGCAUGCCGGAACCAUCUCUCAGACGUGCCAGAACCAUGUUCCGGACACGCCGGUACCACCUGGCGAGCUAGCCGGAACCACCUGCUGGACAUGCCAAAAUCACCUGCCGGCUACGCCAGAACCACUUGGCGGACACUCCAGAAUCACCUGCCGGGCUUGCUGGAACCACCUGCCGGUCACGCCAACAUCACCUGCCAGCUACGCCAGAUCCACUUGGCGGACACUCCGGAAACACCUAUCGGGCCGGCCGCAACCACCUCACAGACGUGCCAGAACCCUGUGCCUGAGAUGCCGGAACCACACCCCGAACAGACCGAAACCACCUGCCAGACCCGCCUGAACCCCCUGGCGAGCACGCCUGAUCCACCUGUUCAAGUAGCCGGAACCAGCUUCCUGACACGCCAAAAUCACCUGCCAGGUAUACCAGAACCACUUGGUGGACACUCUGGAAUCAUCUGCCGGACAUGCCAGAACCAGCUCUCAGACACACCAGAACCACGCGCCAGAGAUGCCGGAAGCACCAGCUGAGCAUGCCUGAGCCACUUGCACGACUCGCAAGAAACACCUGUCGGACAUGCCAAAAUCACCUGCCGGGUAAGCGAGAAACACUUGGCGGACACUCCGGAAUCACCUGUCGGGCAUGCCGGAACCACCUCUCAGACUUGCCAGAACCAUGUUCUGGACACGCAGGUACCACCUGCCGAGUAUGCCGGAACCAGCUGAUCCACUCCCCGGAACCACCUACUGGACACGCCACAAUCAACUGCCGGCUAUGCCAGAACCACACGGCAGACACUCCGGAAUCACAUGCCAGGCAUUCCGGAACCACCUCUCAGAGGUGCCAGAGCCACAUGCCGGAGACUCCGGAAUCACCUGCCGGGCAUGCCGGAACCACCUAUCCAAGGUGCCAGAACCACAUGCCGGAGACUCUGGAAUCACCUGACGGGCAUGCCGGAACCUCCUCUCAGACGUGCCACAACCACGUGCCGGACAGACCGGAAGCACCUGCCUAGAUCUCCGGAACCACCUGCUGGACAUGCCGGAACCACCUGCCUCACAGGCCAAAAUCAUAUGCCGGCUACGCCAAAACCACUGGGUGGACACUCCAGAAUCACCUUGCGGGCAUGCCGGAACCACGUCAUGGACAUACGGCAAACACCUGUCGGACCUGCCGGAACCACCUGCCGAGCACGCCGGAACCACCUGCUCGACUGACCAGAGCCACCUGCUGGACACAGCAGAAACACCUGCGGGGUACGCCAGAACCACUUGGAGAACUCUCCUGGAUCACCUGCCGGGCAUGCCGGAACCACCUCUCAGACGUGCCAGAACCUCGUGCUGGACACGCCAGAACCACCUGCCGGACACGCCGGAACCACCAGCUCGACUCGCCGGAACCACCGUCGGACAUGCAAAAUCACCUGCCGGCUACGCCAGAACCACUUGGCGAACACUCCCGAAUCAGCUGCCGGGCAUGCCGGAACCACCUAUCAGGCUUCCCAGAACCAUGUUCCGGACACGCCGGUACCACCUGCCGAGCAUGCCGGAACCACCUGAUCCACUCCCCAGAACCACCUCCUGGACACGCCAGAAUCACCUGCCGUCUACGGCAGAACCACUCGGCAGACACUCCGGAACCACCUGCUGGGCAUGCCGGAACCACCUCUCAGAGGUGCCAGAACCACAUGCCGGACACUCCGGCAUCACCUGCCGGGCAUGCCGGAACCAUCUCUCAGACGUGCCAGAACCAUGUUCCGGACACGCCGGUGCCACCUGCCGAGCUCGCCGGAACCACCUGCUGGACACGCCAAAAUCAACUGCCGGCCAUGCCAGAACCAACUGGCAGACAGUCCAGAAUCAGCUACCAGGCAUGCAUGAACCACCUCUCAGACGUACCAGAAGCACGUGCCAGACGUGCUGGAACCACGUCCUGGACAGACUGGAACCACCUGCUGGCCACGCCUGAACCACCUGCCGAGCAUGCCGGAACCACCUGCCGAGCCUGCCGGAACCACCUGCUCCACUCGCAGGACCCACCUGCUGGACAUGCCAAAAUCACCUUCCGGCUACGCCAGAACCACUUGCCGGACACUCUGGAAUCACCUGCCGGGCAUGCCGGAACCACCUCUCAGACGUUACAGAACCACGUUUCGGACACGCCUGAACCACC
RNAcentral lists this long non-coding RNA (6055 nucleotides) under Equus caballus (horse). RNAcentral's name for it is "lncRNA (ENSECAG00000049160.1)". The record is from RNAcentral. Lineage: Eukaryota; Metazoa; Chordata; Mammalia; Perissodactyla; Equidae.